RNAcentral lists this long non-coding RNA (499 nucleotides) under Homo sapiens (human). Its description in RNAcentral is "HSALNT0181417". Lineage: Eukaryota; Metazoa; Chordata; Mammalia; Primates; Hominidae. The record is from RNAcentral.
UGUGACCUUGAACCAGCAUUCAGCAGUGAUUGAUGACUUUGAUGAGAGCAGUUCUGGUGGAGGGAUGCGGACAAAGCCUGAUUGAAAUGAUUUCAAGAGACAAUGGAAGGAGCAAAAUAGGAGCAGCAAGUAUAGAUAUUAAAAAAAGAAGCUUUGCAAUAAAGGUGAAAAACGGUAUGUAAUAUCUUUGAAACGAUAGGUGACAUAUAUUGAGUACUUACUGUGUGACAGACACCGUUUCAGGUACUUGUAUUUUGUUUAAUGAGGAAUAAAGAAUUGAGGCAGUCCUUGCUUUGCAUGAUAGCAAGGACCAUGCAAGCGAAAACUAUGCAAAGCAAUCUUCAAAAUCAAUGGGAAGGAUUAUGAUUGUCGUGUGACCUUUAAAAAUUUUUGUCAAAACGUUCAAAACUCUAUAACUGGUGAUUAUUCAUGUAUUUGGAAGUGAAAAAAUAGUAAAACUAAUAUUUAUAGUACACUGUAAUUUAUGACAUUAGGAACA